RNAcentral lists this ribosomal RNA (511 nucleotides) under Revelieria californica. RNAcentral's name for it is "partial 16S ribosomal RNA". The stretch from base 385 to 511 matches the Rfam family "Bacterial large subunit ribosomal RNA", at positions 2473 to 2600 of the family's 2925-position model. The record is from RNAcentral. Lineage: Eukaryota; Metazoa; Arthropoda; Insecta; Coleoptera; Latridiidae.
GUCUUUUUGAAAAUAAUUUAAAGUCUAACCUGCCCAAUGAUUUAUUUAAUGGCCGCAGUAUUUUGACUGUGCAAAGGUAGCAUAAUCAUUAGUUUUUUAAUUGAAAGCUGGUAUGAAUGGUUGGAUAAGAAAUAAGCUGUCUCAAUUUAAUUUUUGUUAAAAUUUUAUUUUUAAGUUAAAAAGCUUAAAUUUAGUUUAAAGACGAGAAGACCCUAUAGAGUUUUAUAUUAUAAAAUUUUAAAUAAUUUAAGUUUUAUAAUUUUUAAAAUUUUAUAGUAUUUGAUUGGGGUGAUUAAAAAAUUAAAAAAACUUUUAUUUUAUUUAUACAUAAAUUAAUGAAUUUUUGAUCCAAUAAUUUUGAUUAAAAGAAUAAAUUACCUUAGGGAUAACAGCGUAAUUUUUUUUGAAAGUUCUUAUUGAAAAAAAAGAUUGCGACCUCGAUGUUGGAUUAAAAUUAAUUUUUGGUGAAGAAGCUAAAAUAUUAAAUCUGUUCGAUUUUUAAAAUUUUACA